GCCUUCGUGGUGUAGUAGUCAGCACGCUCGACACGUAACCAAGGGGUCCACGGUUCGAGUCCCGGCGAAGGCG
Molecule: transfer RNA, 73 nt
Filed under: Stegodyphus mimosarum
Lineage: Eukaryota; Metazoa; Arthropoda; Arachnida; Araneae; Eresidae
Rfam family: tRNA
About the family: Transfer RNA (tRNA) molecules are approximately 80 nucleotides in length. Their secondary structure includes four short double-helical elements and three loops (D, anti-codon, and T loops).
Source: Rfam by way of RNAcentral